RNAcentral lists this ribosomal RNA (253 nucleotides) under uncultured bacterium. RNAcentral's name for it is "partial 16S ribosomal RNA". It matches the Rfam family "Bacterial small subunit ribosomal RNA", at positions 524 to 776 of the family's 1533-position model. The record is from RNAcentral.
GACAGAGGUGCCGAGCGUUAGGCGGAAUCACUGGGCUUAAAGCGUGUGUAGGCGGGCCGUUAAGUACCUUGUGAAAUCCCACGGCUUAACCGUGGAACUGCUCGGUAUACUGGCGAUCUUGAGCCACUUAGGGGUCAGCGGAACAAAUGGUGGAGCGGUGAAAUGCGUAGAUAUCAUUUGGAACGCCAAUGGUGAAAACAGCUGACUGGGAGUGUGCUGACGCUGAGACACGAAAGCCAGGGGAGCGAACGGG